This 454-nucleotide ribosomal RNA is filed under the name uncultured bacterium. RNAcentral describes it as "bacterial SSU rRNA". It matches the Rfam family "Bacterial small subunit ribosomal RNA", at positions 917 to 1382 of the family's 1533-position model. The record is from RNAcentral.
GGGCCCGCACAAGCAGCGGAGCGUGUGGUUUAAUUCGAUGCAACACGAAAAACCUUACCAGGGUUUGACAUGCUGGAAGUAGAGACCCGAAAGGGCGCCGACCUGUUAAGUCAGGAGCCAGCACAGGUGCUGCAUGGCUGUCGUCAGCUCGUGCCGUGAGGUGUAUGGUUAAGUCCUGCAACGAGCGCAACCCUCGUUGCUAGUUAAAUUCUCUAGCGAGACUGCCCCGCAAAACGGGGAGGAAGGUGGGGAUGACGUCAAGUCAGCAUGGCCCUUAUGUCCUGGGCUACACACACGCUACAAUGGGUGGUACAAUGGGUUGCGACAUGGCAACAUGUAGCUAAUCCCCAAAGCCAUCCUCAGUCCAGAUUGCAGGCUGAAACUCGCCUGCAUGAAGUCGGAGUUGCUAGUAACCGCAUAUCAGCAUGUUGCGGUGAAUACGUUCUCGGGCCUU